UUGCUGUUCCCAUCUCAUUCCUUUCCCUCUUCCACGCGUCAUCAUUCUGCUCCUGAGUGGCUCGCUUGUGGGCGUGCUGGCAGGAUAUGGCAUCGUCUUCGGUUGUGCGUCAAGAAUUCUGCAUACAAAAGCAAGUUUGUAUGAAGAAGUCAAAGCGAACACCUACGAUGAUGGCAUCUCAGAGAGCGAGCUGACCAAGGGCUCGAAAAUGUAGAUAUACCAGAUGUUCACUAUCCGAGGAACAGGCCGUGGAAGCUUUAUUGCUGGUAAAAGUGUCCAUAACCAGAGGGUUAUAUCAGCUGUUUUGGUGAAGCCCUCCUGCAUCUGAACUGGCUGACACAGAGGGCACAGCAUGAUCAUAGGUCUGAAGGUAUGUUUUGAUGUGAGAGAGGAAGCCAGUCCCGUCAUCGCCACCUCACCCCCUCUUAAGAUAACCUUUGGGCCAACUGGGGGCCCAAGACUGGUUAGGAGAAACCGCAAUUGUGAUGAACUGAGAGAAUAUUAGGGUAGCACUGUAAUUCAUGAAUCAUAUGCUGUCUGCCGCUUUUCUUAACUCUUUCCCUUUCUGUCUUCUACACCUCUCUCCCCACCUCAUCUUUCUUCCUCAUUUUAUAAUGCACACCAAAUGUGCAUUGAAGUACAGAAUGAACUUGUAUUGAUAAUAUUACAAUUAUCAUAAUUAUAAUGCACUUAUGUAUUUCUAACACCUGGAUAAUGAACUUCUUUCAAUAAAGCGA
This 737-nucleotide long non-coding RNA is filed under the name Salmo salar (Atlantic salmon). RNAcentral's name for it is "lncRNA (ENSSSAG00000117659.1)". Lineage: Eukaryota; Metazoa; Chordata; Actinopteri; Salmoniformes; Salmonidae. The record is from RNAcentral.